This 104-nucleotide non-coding RNA is filed under the name Romboutsia hominis. RNAcentral describes it as "SAM riboswitch aptamer (S box leader)". It matches the Rfam family "SAM riboswitch aptamer (S box leader)". Rfam says of the family: The SAM riboswitch is found upstream of a number of genes which code for proteins involved in methionine or cysteine biosynthesis in Gram-positive bacteria. The SAM riboswitch acts at the level of transcription termination control. Lineage: Bacteria; Bacillati; Bacillota; Clostridia; Peptostreptococcales; Peptostreptococcaceae. The record is from Rfam by way of RNAcentral.
CUUUUAUUAAGAAUGGUGGAGGGACUGGCCCUAUGAAGCCUGGCAACAGCUAACUUAGUUAGAAUUGUGCUAAAUCCUGCAGGAGUUUUCCUGAGAGAUAAAAG